This 471-nucleotide ribosomal RNA is filed under the name Paenarthrobacter nicotinovorans. RNAcentral describes it as "bacterial SSU rRNA". It matches the Rfam family "Bacterial small subunit ribosomal RNA", at positions 173 to 661 of the family's 1533-position model. The record is from RNAcentral. Lineage: Bacteria; Bacillati; Actinomycetota; Actinomycetes; Micrococcales; Micrococcaceae.
ACUCCUCAUCGCAUGGUGGGGGGUGGAAAGCUUUUGUGGUUUUGGAUGGACUCGCGGCCUAUCAGCUUGUUGGUGGGGUAAUGGCCUACCAAGGCGACGACGGGUAGCCGGCCUGAGAGGGUGACCGGCCACACUGGGACUGAGACACGGCCCAGACUCCUACGGGAGGCAGCAGUGGGGAAUAUUGCACAAUGGGCGCAAGCCUGAUGCAGCGACGCCGCGUGAGGGAUGACGGCCUUCGGGUUGUAAACCUCUUUCAGUAGGGAAGAAGCCGCAAGGUGACGGUACCUGCAGAAGAAGCGCCGGCUAACUACGUGCCAGCAGCCGCGGUAAUACGUAGGGCGCAAGCGUUAUCCGGAAUUAUUGGGCGUAAAGAGCUCGUAGGCGGUUUGUCGCGUCUGCUGUGAAAGACCGGGGCUCAACUCCGGUUCUGCAGUGGGUACGGGCAGACUAGAGUGCAGUAGGGGAGAC